This 325-nucleotide ribosomal RNA is filed under the name uncultured eukaryote. Its description in RNAcentral is "partial 18S ribosomal RNA". It matches the Rfam family "Eukaryotic small subunit ribosomal RNA", at positions 1470 to 1796 of the family's 1831-position model. The record is from RNAcentral.
CCCUUAGAUGUUCUGGGCCGCACGCGCGCUACACUGAUGCAUUCAACGAGCCUAUCCUUGACCGACAGGUCCGGGGAAUCUUUGAAUCUGCAUCGUGACGGGGAUAGAUUAUUGCAAUUAUUAAUCUUCAACGAGGAAUGCCUAGUAGGCGCAAGUCAUCAGCUUGCGUCGAUUACGUCCCUGCCCUUUGUACACACCGCCCGUCGCUCCUACCGAUUGGGUGUGCUGGUGAAAUGUUCGGAUCGGCCGUUUGUCGCGGUUUCCGCGUCAUGUGGCUGAGAAGUUCAUUAAACCCUCCCACCUAGAGGAAGGAGAAGUCGUAACA